RNAcentral lists this ribosomal RNA (253 nucleotides) under uncultured bacterium. Its description in RNAcentral is "partial 16S ribosomal RNA". It matches the Rfam family "Bacterial small subunit ribosomal RNA", at positions 524 to 776 of the family's 1533-position model. The record is from RNAcentral.
UACAGAGGUCUCAAGCGUUGUUCGGAUUCAUUGGGCGUAAAGGGUGCGUAGGUGGCGCCGUAAGUCGGGUGUGAAAUUUCGGAGCUUAACUCCGAAACUGCAUUCGAUACUGCGGUGCUUGAGGACUGGAGAGGAGACUGGAAUUCAUGGUGUAGCAGUGAAAUGCGUAGAGAUCAUGGGGAAGACCAGUGGCGAAGGCGGGUCUCUGGACAGUUCCUGACACUGAGGCACGAAGGCCAGGGGAGCAAACGGG